GAUGAACGCUGACAGAAUGCUUUAACACAUGCAAGUCUACUUGAUCCUUCGGUGAUGGUGGCGGACGGGUGAGUAACGCGUAAAGAAACUUGCCCUGCAGUCUGGGGACAAACAUUUGGAAACGAAUGCUAAUACCGGAUAUUAUGUGAGUUUCGCAUGAAAUUCAUAUGAAAGCUAUAUGCGCUGCAGGAGAGCCUUGCGUCCUAUUAGCUAGUUGGUGAGGUAACGGACUCACCAAGGCGAUGAUAGGUAGCCGGCC
Molecule: ribosomal RNA, 259 nt
Filed under: uncultured bacterium
Lineage: Bacteria
Description: partial 16S ribosomal RNA
Rfam family: Bacterial small subunit ribosomal RNA
Source: RNAcentral